UGAAUAAUUGCUAACAUAAAUUGCUCGUUCAAUAAAAUAAUAUUGUAUUUUUAAAGUAUAUCAAUACUAAUACUUCUUUCUUUUUUUGUAUGAAACUUCUAGGGAAUUAAUUGGAAUCCAAUUAUAUCUUCCUUCAUCAUAAAGUCAAGAAAAUUUUGGAAAAUGGAAAAAAAGAAAUAAAUAUAUGGGGGCAUGAAUAGGAGUAGAAGAUAAAAUAUUCAGAUAUUAGUAGCAGUUGCCAAAUUAUUUUGGUUUUUGAAAUAACUACUCGCUACGGUUAAAACUAUGUUGGAUGUUCCUUCUUGCAAGAAUUUGACGAUGGGAGGCAGUUGUGAAGCGCUGGACUUACACAAAAAUAGAUCUUUCGGAUGCGAAAACAUUGUUUCCCAGAGCUGAGGACAACACACUUGCAUUGGCACGAUUAGAAGAUGGAACAAAUGACCCCAACAUGCAAAUGGGACAUGCAAAUGGGACAUGAAGAAGAAGAUGAUCCUUAUAACACAAUACAGGUCAAUGAGAUAGAGAUAUGCUAAGAAAAUCACAUAAAUUAGGUGUAAGGAUA
Molecule: long non-coding RNA, 562 nt
Organism: Sitophilus oryzae (rice weevil)
Lineage: Eukaryota; Metazoa; Arthropoda; Insecta; Coleoptera; Curculionidae
Exons: 4
Source: RefSeq, a predicted model, not a curated record